GACGAACGCUGGCGGCGUGCUUAACACAUGCAAGUCGAACGGAAAGGCCCCUUUGGUGGUACUCGAGUGGCGAACGGGUGCGUAACACGUAAGUAACCUGCCCUUAACUUUGGGACAACUACAAGAAAGUGGGGCCAAUACCGAAAAGGAAUCCUUUCUUCAUGGUGGGGGUUGGAAAGUUUCGGCGGUUCUGGCUGUACUGGAGGGUUAUCAGCUUGUUGGUGGGGUUGUGGAUUACCAAGGCGGCGACGGGUAGCCGGCCUGAGGGGGCGACCGGCCACACUGGGACUGAGGGACGGCCCAGACUCCUACGGGAGGCAGCAGGGGGGAAGAUUGCACGAUGGGCGGAAGCCUGAUGCAGCAGCGCCGCGGGCGGGAUGACGGCCUUCGGGUUGUAGAACGCUUUCAGCAGGGGCGAAGCUUGUGGUGACGGUACCUGCAGAAGAAGCACCGGCUAACUACGUG
This 465-nucleotide ribosomal RNA is filed under the name uncultured bacterium. RNAcentral describes it as "partial 16S ribosomal RNA". It matches the Rfam family "Bacterial small subunit ribosomal RNA", at positions 28 to 507 of the family's 1533-position model. The record is from RNAcentral.